GCGAAAGCGAGUCUGAAUAGGGCGUUUGUCAUUGUUUAUAGACCCGAACCCGGAUGAUCUAACCAUGGUCAGGAUGAAGCUUAGGUAAAAUCAAGUGGAGGUCCGAACCGACUGAUGUUGAAAAAUCAGCGGAUGAAUUGUGGUUAGGGGUGAAAUGCCAAUCGAAUCCGGAGCUAGCUGGUUCUCCCCGAAAUGUGUUUUGGCGCAGCGAUUA
RNAcentral lists this ribosomal RNA (214 nucleotides) under Pelagomonas calceolata. RNAcentral's name for it is "partial Bacterial large subunit ribosomal RNA". It matches the Rfam family "Bacterial large subunit ribosomal RNA", at positions 671 to 885 of the family's 2925-position model. The record is from RNAcentral. Lineage: Eukaryota; Pelagophyceae; Pelagomonadales; Pelagomonadaceae.